GAUGAACGCUGGCGGCGUGCCUAAUACAUGCAAGUCGAGCGAACGGACGAGAAGCUUGCUUCUCUGAUGUUAGCGGCGGAUGGGUGAGUAACACGUGGAUAACCUACCUAUAAGACUGGGAUAACUUCGGGAAACCGUAGCUAAUACCGGAUAAUAUUUUGAACCGCAUGGUUCAAAAGUGAAAGACGGUCUUGCUGUCACUUAUAGAUGGAUCCGCACUGCAUUAGCUAGUUGGUAAGGUAACGGCUUACCAAGGCAACGAUGCAUAGCCGACCUGAGAGGGUGAUCGGCCACACUGGAACUGAGACACGGUCCAGACUCCUACGGGAGGCAGCAGUAGGGAAUCUUCCGCAAUGGGCGAAAGCCUGACGGAGCAACGCCGCGUGAGUGAUGAAGGUCUUCGGAUCGUAAAACUCUGUUAUUAGGGAAGAACAUAUGUGUAAGUAACUGUGCACAUCUUGACGGUACCUAAUCAGAAAGCCACGGCUAACUACGUG
This 497-nucleotide ribosomal RNA is filed under the name uncultured bacterium. Its description in RNAcentral is "partial 16S ribosomal RNA". It matches the Rfam family "Bacterial small subunit ribosomal RNA", at positions 28 to 507 of the family's 1533-position model. The record is from RNAcentral.